UAUAAAGUCAUCCUCCCCUUGAUUUUUAAUUUCCACAUGAACAUUUGCAUAACUGCAACAAUAAAUGAAUAAAAUAAACUAAGAAAUUGUCUUUAAAAAUUCACUUUUGCAAACUUUAGAAGCAUACCCCAAUAUCUGAAAUGCAGUAAAAUGCAUCUUGAAAAAACGAAAAAGCUUAAAUCAGCUACGUGUUAUUCACAAACUUAGAUUUUUUCUUUUUUUUUUCUUUUAAAUAACAAAAGGUUAUGGAACAAUGUGAUAUAUUUUCAUAAAACUCGCUUUCAAGUACUCUAUGCUAAUGGGGGAAAAAAAUCAGACUUUGCAAAACCCAACCAGGCAACAGCCUCAAAGCCAAGUAUACAAAAAAAUGAAAAAAAAAGUACCAGAGAGAGCAGCCAGCCAAAAAGGGCUUCAAAAGAUUUAAUAUCCUCUUUUGAAUCCUUUAUGUGCUUUUAUAUUUAUUUUAUUUUAUUUUUUGUUAAAAGGUGUAGUUGGUGGGAUGUUCUUCACUUCUUCUCUUCUAGCUUCUCUGUUUUCCUGGGUGAAGGAGGGACGCUGCUUUCAGUUUGUAGGGCCAUAGGUGCGAUCAGAAUUGAAACAGGACCGUUCUGUUUAAUUUUCUUACAAAAAUUUCACUUAUACUUUAAAAUUAUUAGUAAAAUUAAAAACAUGAGUGAAAAGGAAAAUAUUUUGAGUUUAAAACCUAUAUAUAUAUAUAUAUAUAUUCAAUUAAGUAUUUUUGAGUUUAUUAAAUUUUUUCUCUUGUAGUUUAUUUUUAAAAACACGAGUGAAAUAGGAAAACAUUUUGAGUUUAUUUUUAGAAUAUAAAUAUUUUCAAUUAAGAAUUCUUUUUUUUUUUAAACUCGGGUGAAGGGGGAAAAUAAACUACAAGGUUUUAUAAAACAUUUUAUCUCUUUCAACAAGUUAUUAUAUUCCAGCCCUAAUCCCCUUUUCAAAUCAAAUCUCUCUCUACGCCCAUACGGUGCUUCAUCGGCUUUCAAUGGUGUUCAUCGCCUUUCUUCGGCAAGGCCCCUCUCUCUCGCUCUUAGGAAUUUGCAAAAGAUUAAAUUCAAUGAUAAAAUCGAUGCCUUCCGUUGGAUGAUUUGUCUGUCAAUCUUCUGUACCAAAAUUUAUCUAGUGUCUAUAUUUUCCAGUAUUAUAUUAAGUUCCAUUAACAAUUAAUUACUAGUGAAGUGCAAUUUACUGAUCCAUUUAUAAUUUUAUGACUAAAUCUGUUAUGUAUAGUGUGGUCACUAUUUUUUACAUGUUGUAGUCAUAUCAUGCUGUACGCCAUGGCAUGUUCUCGUGUCCCAUCUUUUCAAGAGAAUGUUUGGUAUAUCUGGUAAAUCUCAAUAUAUUUAGUGUGCAGUGUGUUCUGCCGACUCUUAUUUUGUUUCA
Long non-coding RNA from Ziziphus jujuba (common jujube), 1398 nucleotides. RefSeq lists it as uncharacterized. Lineage: Eukaryota; Viridiplantae; Streptophyta; Magnoliopsida; Rosales; Rhamnaceae. The transcript has 2 exons. The record is from RefSeq and is a predicted model, not a curated record.